GCCCCUGUAGCUCAGAGGAUAGAGCAGCGGUUUCCUAAACCGCGUGUCGUGCGUUCGAGUCGCACCAGGGGUA
This 73-nucleotide transfer RNA is filed under the name Chloroflexota bacterium. Its description in RNAcentral is "Chloroflexi bacterium tRNA-Arg". It matches the Rfam family "tRNA". Rfam says of the family: Transfer RNA (tRNA) molecules are approximately 80 nucleotides in length. Their secondary structure includes four short double-helical elements and three loops (D, anti-codon, and T loops). Lineage: Bacteria; Bacillati; Chloroflexota. RNAcentral also lists the same sequence under 3 other names. The record is from RNAcentral.